UGCGCAGGUGGAUUAAUAAGUCGGGGGUUAAAUCCAUGUGCUUAACACAUGCACGGCUUCCGAUACUGUUGAUCUAGAGUCUCGAAGAGGAAGGUGGAAUUUCCGGUGUAACGGUGGAAUGUGUAGAUAUCGGAAAGAACACCAGUGGCGAAGGCAGCCUUCUGGUCGAGUACUGACGCUCAUGCACGAAAGCGUGGGGAGCAAACAG
RNAcentral lists this ribosomal RNA (208 nucleotides) under uncultured Chlorobaculum sp. RNAcentral describes it as "partial 16S ribosomal RNA". It matches the Rfam family "Bacterial small subunit ribosomal RNA", at positions 568 to 775 of the family's 1533-position model. Lineage: Bacteria; Pseudomonadati; Chlorobiota; Chlorobiia; Chlorobiales; Chlorobiaceae. The record is from RNAcentral.